RNAcentral lists this ribosomal RNA (253 nucleotides) under uncultured bacterium. RNAcentral describes it as "partial 16S ribosomal RNA". It matches the Rfam family "Bacterial small subunit ribosomal RNA", at positions 524 to 776 of the family's 1533-position model. The record is from RNAcentral.
UACGUAGGGGGCAAGCGUUGUCCGGAUUUAUUGGGCGUAAAGAGCGUGUAGGCGGCUCGGUAAGUCCGCUGUAAAAGUCAAAGGCUCAACCUUUGAAUGUCAGUGGAUACUGCCGGGCUAGAGUCCGGAAGAGGCGAGUGGAACUCCUGGUGUAGCGGUGGAAUGCGCAGAUAUCAGGAAGAACACCAACGGCGAAGGCAGCUCGCUGGGACGGUACUGACGCUGAGACGCGAAAGCGUGGGGAGCGAACAGG